Molecule: ribosomal RNA, 242 nt
Filed under: uncultured bacterium
Lineage: Bacteria
Description: partial 16S ribosomal RNA
Rfam family: Bacterial small subunit ribosomal RNA
Source: RNAcentral
AUUAGUGGCGAACGGGUGAGUAACACGUGAGUAACCUGCCCUUAACUCUGGGAUAAGCCUUGGAAACGGGGUCUAAUACUGGAUAUUGACUUUACAUCGCAUGGUGUUUGGUUGAAAGAUUUAUUGGUUUGGAUGGACUCGCGGCCUAUCAGCUUGUUGGUGAGGUAAUGGCUCACCAAGGCGACGACGGGUAGCCGGCCUGAGAGGGUGACCGGCCACACUGGGACUGAGACACGGCCCAG